CGUGACUCGAGUCGUGAGGAGGAAUUUAAGAGUUGUGCCAGAUAUGAAUCACGAUUUACAUUUCUGUUGGUUCUUCAUACUUGUGGUCGCCAAAGAACAUUCACCUGGAUUACUAUGAACUGUCUGCAGUCUUCCUCGCCUUGACAAAUGACUGGACAGACAGAGUGGAAAGCUCUACCUUUGUGGAUCGUUCAUCUCUAUAGCAACAGGAGUCCUCAGUCUUUAGGUCUGCCUUCGACAUCCCCGUGUUUUCCGAUUUCCUUGGCUCUCACAAUCUUUCCAUUUUGCUGCUGAUGCCGGGAGCCGUUCAGCGAGCUGCGCUUCAUGAGUCGAUUGAUGAUGUCACUGCAGGUCUUC
Danio rerio (zebrafish) is the source of this 357-nucleotide non-coding RNA. The record is from Ensembl. Lineage: Eukaryota; Metazoa; Chordata; Actinopteri; Cypriniformes; Danionidae.